UAAAACUCAAAUGAAUUGACGGGGGCCCGCACAAGCGGUGGAGCAUGUGGUUUAAUUCGAUGCAACGCGAAGAACCUUACCAACUCUUGACAUCCAGAGAACUUAGCAGAGAUGCUUUGGUGCCUUCGGGAACUCUGAGACAGGUGCUGCAUGGCUGUCGUCAGCUCGUGUUGUGAAAUGUUGGGUUAAGUCCCGCAACGGGCGCAACCCUUAUCCUUUGUUGCCAGCGGUCCGGCCGGGAACUCAAAGGAGACUGCCAGUGAUAAACUGGAGGAAGGUGGGGAUGACGUCAAGUCAUCAUGGCCCUUACGAGUAGGGCUACACACGUGCUACAAUGGCGCAUACAAAGAGAGGCGAACUCGCGAGAGCAAGCGGACCUCAUAAAGUGCGUCGUAGUCCGGAUUGGAGUCUGCAACUCGACUCCAUGAAGUCGGAAUCGCUAGUAAUCGUAGAUCAGAAUGCUACGGUGAAUACGUUCCCGGGCCUUGUACACACCGCCCGUCACACCAUGGGAGUGGGUUGCAAAAGAAGUAGGUAGCUUAACCUUCGGGAGGGCGCUUACCACUUUGCGAUUCAUGACUGGGGUGAAGUCGUAACA
This 598-nucleotide ribosomal RNA is filed under the name uncultured Enterobacter sp. RNAcentral's name for it is "bacterial SSU rRNA". It matches the Rfam family "Bacterial small subunit ribosomal RNA", at positions 895 to 1493 of the family's 1533-position model. The record is from RNAcentral. Lineage: Bacteria; Pseudomonadati; Pseudomonadota; Gammaproteobacteria; Enterobacterales; Enterobacteriaceae.